GAUGAAGAACGUAGCAAAAUGCGAUACUUGGUGUGAAUUGCAGAAUCCCGUGAACCAUCGAGUUUUUGAACGCAAGUUGCGCCCGAAGCCUUUUGGCCGAGGGCACGUCUGCCUGGGCGUCACGCAUCGCGUCGCCCCCCACAAUUCUCCGUAAAGGGAACAUGUGUUUUGGGGGCGGAUAUUGGUCUCCCGUGCUCAUGGCGUGGUUGGCCGAAAUAGGAGUCCUUUCGAUGGACGCACGAACUAGUGGUGGUCGUAAAAACCCUUGUCUUUUGUUUCGUGCUGUUGGUCGCAAGGUAAACUCUUUAAAAACCCCAAUGUGUCGUCUCUUGACGACGCUUCGACCGCGACCCCAGGUCAGGCGGGACUACCCGCUGAGUUUAAGCAUAUCAAUAAGCGGAGGA
This 404-nucleotide unclassified non-coding RNA is filed under the name soil metagenome. Its description in RNAcentral is "partial contains 5.8S ribosomal RNA, internal transcribed spacer 2, and large subunit ribosomal RNA". The stretch from base 1 to 122 matches the Rfam family "5.8S ribosomal RNA", at positions 35 to 154 of the family's 154-position model. The record is from RNAcentral.